CUAAGCAUAUCAAUAAGCGGAGGAAAAAGAAACUAACAAGGAUUCCCCUAGUAACUGCGAGUGAAGCGGGAAAAGCUCAAAUUUAAAAUCUGGCGGUCUCUGGCCGUCCGAGUUGUAAUCUAGAGAAGUGAUGCCCGCGCUGGACCGUGUACAAGUCUCCUGGAAUGGAGCGUCAUAGAGGGUGAGAAUCCCGUCUCUGACACGGACUACCAGGGCUUUGUGGUAUCCUCUCAAAGAGUCGAGUUGUUUGGGAAUGCAGCUCUAAAUGGGUGGUAAAUUCCAUCUAAAGCUAAAUAUUGGCGAGAGACCGAUAGCGAACAAGUACCGUGAGGGAAAGAUGAAAAGAACUUUGGAAAGAGAGUUAAACAGUACGUGAAAUUGCUGAAAGGGAAACGCUUGAAGUCAGUCGCGUUGGCCAGGAAUCAGCCUUGCUCUUGCAUGGUGUACUUUCUGGUUGACGGGUCAGCAUCAAUUUUGACUGCUGGAAAAAGGCUUGGGGAAUGUGGCAGCUUCGGCUGUGUUAUAGCCCUUUGUCACAUACAGCGGUUGGGAUUGAGGAACUCAGCACGCCGCAAGGCCGGGUUUCGACCACGUUCGUGCUUAGGAUGCUGGCAUAAUGGCUUUAAGCGACCCGUCUUGAAACACGGACCAAGGAGUCUAACAUGCCUGCGAGUGUUUGGGUGGUAAACCCGAGCGCGUAAUGAAAGUGAAAGUUGAGAUCCCUGUCGUGGGGAGCAUCGACGCCCGGACCAGAGCUUUUGUGACGGAUCCGCGGUAGAGCAUGUAUGUUGGGACCCGAAAGAUGGUGAACUAUGCCUGAAUAGGGUGAAGCCAGAGGAAACUCUGGUGGAGGCUCGUAGCGAUUCUGACGUGCAAAUCGAUCGUCAAAUUUGGGUAUAGGGGGCGAAAGACUAAUCGAACCAUCUAGUAGCUGGGUUCCUGCCG
RNAcentral lists this ribosomal RNA (945 nucleotides) under Utraria mollis. RNAcentral's name for it is "LSU rRNA". It matches the Rfam family "Eukaryotic large subunit ribosomal RNA", at positions 34 to 963 of the family's 3401-position model. Lineage: Eukaryota; Fungi; Basidiomycota; Agaricomycetes; Agaricales; Lycoperdaceae. The record is from RNAcentral.